This 71-nucleotide transfer RNA is filed under the name Emydura subglobosa. RNAcentral describes it as "tRNA-Gln". It matches the Rfam family "tRNA". From Rfam's summary of the family: Transfer RNA (tRNA) molecules are approximately 80 nucleotides in length. Their secondary structure includes four short double-helical elements and three loops (D, anti-codon, and T loops). RNAcentral also lists the same sequence under 2 other names. The record is from RNAcentral. Lineage: Eukaryota; Metazoa; Chordata; Testudines; Chelidae.
UAGAAUGUAGUAUAGUGGAAGUACCGGGAGUUUUGAUCUCCCUGGGGCAGGUUCAAGUCCUGUUUUUCUAA